AUGUUAUGGAAAGAUAUUAAGGAUGUGUUUGAUAUAGAAGAGAAGAGAGAGGAAAGGGUUAGAAGAUGGAUGGAUCCUAAGUUGGGGAGGUUUUUUAAUGUUGUUGAAGCUCUUAGUUUGUUCUCUUUGGCAAUGAAUUGUAUAAAAGAACAAUCUUUGUUAAGACCAACAAUGGGAGAAGUUGUUCUUAGUUUUUCCCUUCUCACUCAACAUUCUCCUACUUUGUUAGAGAGGUCUUGUAUUUAUGGAUCAGAUGUUGAGGUUAUAGCUGGAACGGUUACUUCAAUCAUAGGUCGUUGA
This is a non-coding RNA of Vicia faba (fava bean), 300 nucleotides long. The record is from the annotation of a GenBank genome assembly. Lineage: Eukaryota; Viridiplantae; Streptophyta; Magnoliopsida; Fabales; Fabaceae.